This 1343-nucleotide ribosomal RNA is filed under the name uncultured bacterium. Its description in RNAcentral is "16S ribosomal RNA". It matches the Rfam family "Bacterial small subunit ribosomal RNA", at positions 28 to 1378 of the family's 1533-position model. The record is from RNAcentral.
GACGAACGUUUGCGGCGUGCUUAACACAUGCAAGUCGAACGGAAAGGCCCUGCUUUUGUGGGGUGCUCGAGUGGCGAACGGGUGAGUAACACGUGAGUAACCUGCCCUUGACUUUGGGAUAACUUCAGGAAACUGGGGCUAAUACCGGAUAGGAGCUCCUGCUGCAUGGUGGGGGUUGGAAAGUUUCGGCGGUUGGGGAUGGACUCGCGGCUUAUCAGCUUGUUGGUGGGGUAGUGGCUUACCAAGGCUUUGACGGGUAGCCGGCCUGAGAGGGUGACCGGCCACAUUGGGACUGAGAUACGGCCCAGACCCCUACGGGAGGCAGCAGUGGGGAAUAUUGCACAAUGGGCGGAAGCCUGAUGCAGCAACGCCGCGUGCGGGAUGACGGCCUUCGGGUUGUAAACCGCUUUCGCCUGUGACGAAGCGUGUGUGACGGUAAUGGGUAAAGAAGCACCGGCUAACUACGUGCCAGCAGCCGCGGUGAUACGUAGGGUGCGAGCGUUGUCCGGAUUUAUUGGGCGUAAAGGGCUCGUAGGUGGUUGAUCGCGUCGGAAGUGUAAUCUUGGGGCUUAACCCUGAGCGUGCUUUCGAUACGGGUUGACUUGAGGAAGGUAGGGGAGAAUGGAAUUCCUGGUGGAGCGGUGGAAUGCGCAGAUAUCAGGAGGAACACCAGUGGCGAAGGCGGUUCUCUGGGCCUUUCCUGACGCUGAGGAGCGAAAGCGUGGGGAGCGAACAGGCUUAGAUACCCUGGUAGUCCACGCUGUAAACGGUGGGUACUAGGUGUGGGGUCCAUUCCACGGGUUCCGUGCCGUAGCUAACGCUUUAAGUACCCCGCCUGGGGAGUACGGCCGCAAGGCUAAAACUCAAAGGAAUUGACGGGGCCCCGCACAAGCGGCGGAGCAUGCGGAUUAAUUCGAUGCAACGCGUAGAACCUUACCUGGGUUUGACAUGGAUCGGGAGUGCUCAGAGAUGGGUGUGCCUCUUUUGGGGUCGGUUCACAGGUGGUGCAUGGCUGUCGUCAGCUCGUGUCGUGAGAUGUUGGGUUAAGUCCCGCAACGAGCGCAACCCUUGUUCACUGUUGCCAGCACGUUAUGGUGGGGACUCAGUGGAGACCGCCGGGGUCAACUCGGAGGAAGGUGGGGAUGACGUCAAGUCAUCAUGCCCCUUAUGUCCAGGGCUUCACGCAUGCUACAAUGGCUGGUACAGAGAGUGGCGAGCCUGUGAGGGUGAGCGAAUCUCGGAAAGCCGGUCUCAGUUCGGAUUGGGGUCUGCAACUCGACCUCAUGAAGUCGGAGUCGCUAGUAAUCGCAGAUCAGCAACGCUGCGGUGAAUACGUUCCCGGG